CGUAGCCGGUUUUACAAGUCCUCCGUUAAAUCCAACUGCUUAACAGAUGGGCCGCGGAGGAUACUAUAAGACUAGGAGGCAGGAGAGGCAAGCGGUACUCAGUGGGUAGGGGUAAAAUCCGUUGAUCCAUUGAAGACCACCAGUGGCGAAGGCGGCUUGCCAGAAUGCGCUCGACGGUGAGGGAUGAAAGCUGGGGGAGCAAACCGGAUUAGAUACCCGGGUAGUCCCAGCUGUAAACGAUGCAGACUCGGUGAUGGACUAGCUUCAUGCUAGUCCAGUGCCGCAGGGAAGCCGUUAAGUCUGCCGCCUGGGUAGUACGGUCGCAAGACUGAAACUUAA
RNAcentral lists this ribosomal RNA (339 nucleotides) under uncultured archaeon. RNAcentral describes it as "bacterial SSU rRNA". It matches the Rfam family "Archaeal small subunit ribosomal RNA", at positions 520 to 859 of the family's 1478-position model. The record is from RNAcentral.